GAUGAACGCUAGCGGCAGGCCUAAUACAUGCAAGUCGGACGGGAUCCGUUGAUAGCUUGCUAUCAAUGGUGAGAGUGGCGCACGGGUGCGUCACGCGUGAGCAACCUGCCUCCAUCAGGGGGAUAGCCUCUCGAAAGAGAGAUUCACACCGCAUAAUAUCAACAGUUCGCAUGUUCAGUUGAUUAAAUAUUUAUAGGAUGGAGAUGGGCUCGCGUGACAUUAGCUAGUUGGUAGGGUAACGGCUUACCAAGGCGACGAUGUCUAGGGGCUCUGAGAGGAGACUCCCCGAGACUGGGACCGAGAAACGGACCAGACUCCUACGGGAGGCAGCAGUAAGGAAGAUAGGUCAAUGGGCGGAAGCCUGAACCAGCCAUGCCGCAUGCAGGAGGACUGCGCUAUGGGUUGUAAACUGCGGUUGGCCAGGAAUAAACCUAAAGACGAGUAUUUAGCUGAAGGUACUGGAAGAAUAAGGAUCGGCUAACUCCGUG
This 488-nucleotide ribosomal RNA is filed under the name uncultured bacterium. RNAcentral describes it as "partial 16S ribosomal RNA". It matches the Rfam family "Bacterial small subunit ribosomal RNA", at positions 28 to 507 of the family's 1533-position model. The record is from RNAcentral.